AAAACUUUCAACAACGGAUCUCUUGGUUCUGGCAUCGAUGAAGAACGCAGCGAAAUGCGAUAAGUAAUGUGAAUUGCAGAAUUCAGUGAAUCNUCGAAUCUUUGAACGCACAUUGCGCCCGCCAGUAUUCUGGCGGGCAUGCCUGUCCGAGCGUCAUUU
Molecule: ribosomal RNA, 159 nt
Filed under: Trichoderma atroviride
Lineage: Eukaryota; Fungi; Ascomycota; Sordariomycetes; Hypocreales; Hypocreaceae
Description: 5.8S ribosomal RNA
Rfam family: 5.8S ribosomal RNA
About the family: 5.8S ribosomal RNA (5.8S rRNA) is a component of the large subunit of the eukaryotic ribosome. It is transcribed by RNA polymerase I as part of the 45S precursor that also contains 18S and 28S rRNA. Functionally, it is thought that 5.8S rRNA may be involved in ribosome translocation.
Source: RNAcentral